RNAcentral lists this ribosomal RNA (539 nucleotides) under uncultured Escherichia sp. Its description in RNAcentral is "bacterial SSU rRNA". It matches the Rfam family "Bacterial small subunit ribosomal RNA", at positions 505 to 1041 of the family's 1533-position model. The record is from RNAcentral. Lineage: Bacteria; Pseudomonadati; Pseudomonadota; Gammaproteobacteria; Enterobacterales; Enterobacteriaceae.
GUGCCAGCCGCUGCGGUAAUACGGAGGGUGCAGGCGUUAAUCGGAAUUACUGGGCGUAAAGCGCACGCAGGCGGUUUGUUAAGUCAGAUGUGAAAUCCCCGGGCUCAACCUGGGAACUGCAUCUGAUACUGGCAAGCUUGAGUCUCGUAGAGGGGGGGUAGAAUUCCAGGUGUAGCGGUGAAAUGCGUAGAGAUCUGGAGGAAUACCGGUGGCGAAGGCGGCCCCCUGGACGAAGACUGACGCUCAGGUGCGAAAGCGUGGGGAGCAAACAGGAUUAGAUACCCUGGUAGUCCACGCCGUAAACGAUGUCGACUUGGAGGUUGUGGCCCUUGAGGCGUGGCUUCCGGAGCUAACGCGUUAAGUCGACCGCCUGGGGAGUACGGCCGCAAGGUUAAAACUCAAAUGAAUUGACGGGGCCCGCACAAGCGGUGGAGCAUGUGGUUUAAUUCGAUGCAACGCGAAGAACCUUACCUAGGUCUUGACAUCCACGGAAGUUUUCAGAGAUGAGAAUGUGCCUUCGGGAACCGUGAGACAGGUGC